This 266-nucleotide ribosomal RNA is filed under the name uncultured bacterium. RNAcentral describes it as "partial 16S ribosomal RNA". It matches the Rfam family "Bacterial small subunit ribosomal RNA", at positions 1235 to 1500 of the family's 1533-position model. The record is from RNAcentral.
CGUAAACAGAGGGAAGCGAAACCGCGAGGUAGAGCAAAUCCCCAAAAACGGUCUCAGUUCGGAUUGCAGGCUGCAACUCGCCUGUAUGAAGUCGGAAUUGCUAGUAAUCGCGGAUCAGCAUGCCGCGGUGAAUACGUUCCCGGGCCUUGUACACACCGCCCGUCACACCAUGGGAGCCGGGAACACCCGAAGUCCGUAGUCUAACCGCAAGGAGGACGCGGCCGAAGGUGGGUUUGGUAAUUGGGGUGAAGUCGUAACAAGGUACC